GACGAGUCUGACGAACGUUAUUCGGAAUUACCGGGCUUAAAGGGUGCGUAGGCGGUGGAGUAAGUCGGAUGUGAAAUACCUUAGCUCAACUAAGGAACUGCACUCGAUACUACUUUGCUAGAGUAAGACAGAGGUGAGUGGAACUGAGGGUGGAGCGGUGAAAUGCGUUGAUAUCCUCAGGAACGCCGGUGGCGAAGGCGACUCACUGGGUCUUUACUGACGCUGAUGCACGAAAGCUAGGGUAGCAAACGGG
Molecule: ribosomal RNA, 253 nt
Filed under: uncultured bacterium
Lineage: Bacteria
Description: partial 16S ribosomal RNA
Rfam family: Bacterial small subunit ribosomal RNA
Source: RNAcentral